GUUCCGGAACUUUGGUUCGGUGUUAAGUUAUGGACCGGAACUAAGAAAGUGAUAACUUUCUUAAAUAUUCCCCGAAUAAACAUAGCUAUGUACAUACGUACAUAUGUAUUUAGAAAAAGUUUAGUUCGCGGUCAUCUCUGGCGGACCGAAGAGAACUGGGAAAGGGCAGGCGUGUCAUCUGGUGCACAGCAGCAACUAAAACAACCGCAGCAACUACAGCAACAACAGAAGGAGCCCAGGAACAACAAGCAGAGGAGACAGCAGCGCCAACAAGAAUCUGGCAAUUGGACAAAGCCCGACCGGGCAUAAUCCAAUUGGACUGGCAAACAGAGCCCGCUCUCCCGUUGGAUUUCCCGACAGAAAGAGCAAAUGAAGUACUCGCGUUUUUGGCAAAAAAUCAAUUCUCCACGUGAUGGCCAAGUGCAGUUUUUUGGGGAUUUAUAUAGCGGGAAAGUUUUCCAUAUGAUCGACACCUCCACGCAUUUCUGACAUCGUUUUUUGUGCCGCUAAUUAUUGACAUAACAAAUGUGGUGGAGCUUCUACCACGCUCUCCACACAAACACACGCGCAAAUACGAUGAAUAUUCCGAUGACAGCACAUGCGAAAUUCUCUAAAACAAAAGGAACAACCGCGAGUUUGGGAGAGCUCGGGGUUUUCGCCGCUUUGCUGCCCGUUAAAUGUGGAAUCGAAGCACAACUUCUACCAUGAAAGAUGUGACAUCACGUUACUUCGCGCCUUGUAGUUCGACGACAACCCAUGCACACACGUUCCCAAACUCCUCUUUGGGUUCGACGCCACUCUGCAAGAAGUCCAAGCAUUUGGAUACCAUCCAAAGCUAGUCGUAAAAUUACGUGCUAUUAGGUUAAGGUUUAAGCUCAAG
This is a long non-coding RNA of Drosophila santomea, 880 nucleotides long. RefSeq lists it as uncharacterized. NCBI's taxonomy places the organism in Eukaryota, Metazoa, Arthropoda, Insecta, Diptera, Drosophilidae. The transcript has 4 exons. The record is from RefSeq and is a predicted model, not a curated record.